GACGAACGCUGGCGGCGUGCUUAACACAUGCAAGUCGAACGGAAAGGCCCUGCUUGCAGGGUACUCGAGUGGCGAACGGGUGAGUAACACGUGGGUGAUCUGCCCUGCACUUCGGGAUAAGCCUGGGAAACUGGGUCUAAUACCGGAUAGGAGCCAUUUUUAGUGUGAUGGUUGGAAAGUUUUUUUCGGUGUAGGAUGAGCUCGCGGCCUAUCAGCUUGUUGGUGGGGUAAUGGCCUACCAAGGCGGCGACGGGUAGCCGGCCUGAGAGGGUGGACGGCCACAUUGGGACUGAGAUACGGCCCAGACUCCUACGGGAGGCAGCAGUGGGGAAUAUUGCACAAUGGGCGCAAGCCUGAUGCAGCGACGCCGCGUGGGGGAUGACGGCCUUCGGGUUGUAAACUCCUUUCGCUAGGGACGAAGCUUUUUGUGACGGUACCUAGAUAAGAAACACCGGCUAACUACGU
RNAcentral lists this ribosomal RNA (465 nucleotides) under uncultured bacterium. Its description in RNAcentral is "partial 16S ribosomal RNA". It matches the Rfam family "Bacterial small subunit ribosomal RNA", at positions 28 to 506 of the family's 1533-position model. The record is from RNAcentral.